AUGCCUGCCCCCAGCCACAUUUUUCAGAGACAGCGUCUCGCAUCUGGGAUUUCACAAGCGACAGUGGGGGAGGUGGGUGGGAGCCGAGCGCGGUCCUUGCUCCUGCAUUCUCGGGAUGGAAUGAGACAGAGCCUGUUUGGCGCUGAAGACAGAGCUCUGGGGAUGAAUUUAUCAGAUAAACUACAAUUUUCUCUGUGCUUAUCGUCUGAACCAGAAAUUACAAUCUUGAACACUUGUGGAGCUGGAAAAGCUCGAUCUGUGUCAGCACGGCCCUAGAAGUGGACAAGACGCCUGAAGGGCAGUCUGGCCUUUGGAAUCCGUCCAUGCCUGUUUCUCCGGAGGGACUCAGGCCCCAUCCCCACCAGCAGAAAGCCAGCGUGCUUGGGAAUACACAGAGCUAUGCGUAAAAUGGAAAUGUUUACAAUGCAGAAUCUGUGCUGUCCAGUCUAAGUGGGGCCGGCGUACUAUUAAAAGCGAGAGACGAGAAACGUGAAGAGAACAAAAGCCGUGCCGUCCAGCAAAGCCACAAUAUCCAGUCCCACAUCACGUCCAUUGCCCCAAAGGAAGUCCUCAUUGAGCAACCUCUUCCCACCCCCUCAGCCCCCAGCCCCUGGUAACCACGGACUCGCUUUCUGUCUCUAUAGAUGGGCUGAAUCUGGAGAGUUCCUAUAACUGGAAUCACACAGCAUGAUUUGUGUCUGGCUGCUCUGACCUCGCACAGUAUUUUCAAGGUUCAUGCAUGUUAUAUAGCAUGUAUCAACACUUCCUUUUUAUACCAGAAGAUUGCAUUAUGAUACCACACUUUGGAGUUCCUGUGGUGGCUCAGUGAUUAACAAACCCAACUAGGAUCCAUGAGGAAGCAGGUUCGAUCCCUGGGCUCGCUCAGUGGGUUAAGGAUCCCGGGCUGCAGUGAGCCGUGGUGUAGGUCGCAGAUGCAGGUCAGAUCUGGCAUUGCUGUGGCUGUGGUGUAGGCUGGCAGCUGCAGCUCUGAUUAGACCCCUAGCCUGGGAACCUCCAUAUGCUGAGGGUAUGACCCUAAAAAGCAAAAUAAUAAUAAUCAUCAUUAUAAUAGCACACUUUAUUUAUCCAUGCAUCUGUUGAUGGACAUUUGGGUCGGUCCACUUGGGGCUAUGGUAAACAGUGCUGCUGCAAACAUCUGAGGGCACGUGUUUGAGUUGUUGUGUUCAGAUCUUUGGGGUACCUGCUGAGGAGUUGAAAUGCUGGGUCAUAUGAUAAUUUUAUUUUAUUUUAUUUUUAAUUUUAUUUAUUUAUUUAU
Molecule: long non-coding RNA, 1276 nt
Filed under: Sus scrofa (pig)
Lineage: Eukaryota; Metazoa; Chordata; Mammalia; Artiodactyla; Suidae
Description: lncRNA (ENSSSCG00025005310.1)
Source: RNAcentral